AUGAAUAUAAAAUAUAUUGAAAUUUAAAGAUGCUGUAGACCCCAUUUUGGGCCGUCGGCGUGGGACUCUCUUUUUGGGCCACCUUUGGUUUUCUGGGACUUUUUUUAAACCACCCUGGAGGAGACACGCGGCAGGGAAAAGGUUUUUUAAUUUUUCUGGUAAGAGUUUGUUGGGGGUAGGAGGUAGUUUUCUGCAGUUGGAGGGACAAUCUCUGCAGAGGGCAGCACGCUUUGGAGGGGGUCCUUAGAGAGAGAGAGAGAGAGCAGAGGGGCUUUGUUUUCUAAGGGGUUUUGGAGAGGAGAGGGAGAGAAAUUUUGGAGGGCAGAGGAGUGGAAGAAAAAGAAGAAGAAAACUUGGGGAAGGAGAAAACCGAAAAGGGUGGGUGGGGGGAAUUGAGAGAGAUGGUGAGCUGAACUGUGAGAAAAUAUUCUUGGAGGGGGGCAGAUUCUAGUCUGGGGGACCAUUUUCCGGUGAGGAGCUGUUGGAGAGGAUCCAUUGGGUAGCUGUUUUAGAGAAAGGGGUAAGGAGGGAAGGCUGUUUUUGAGAGAGAGGGUAAGUGUGUCUUGGAGGACAAGAAAGCAGAGCAGAGGAGAAGAAGAAGCUGGGAGUUCUCGCUGGCUUUGGAGGAAGAAAGAGUGCUUGAAGAGGAGCACACCUUGCUCGGGGAGGAAACUUCCAGUUUGGCCGAAGGUGACACAUGGGAGACACCAUCCUAUGCAACCUGCAUUAAUUAAUUACAUCCAAAAAAUAUCAUACACAUAUGUUAUGUCUUAAGAAAAAGCCUAUUAAAUUACAAAAGAAAAAAAGAAAAAAAAAAGGAAAAAGAAUAGAAAUCUCACAUGUACCCAUGUUGUCAUUUUUUAAAUUAAGAAUAUUUAAAUAAGCUUUCUAAUUAAGACUAUAAACUCUUUUUUUUAAGUCAAACCGUUUUAUAAAAAUAAAAUAAAAAUCAAACCAACGAGUUAAAAAAAAGACUUUUGACUUCUUAAAAGUCAAUUCAAAUGAUUUAUUUUUUUUAAACUUUAACUAAAAGCUUAAAUUAAAGUCAAAAUUACAAUUUUUAAAAGAUUAUAUUAAUAUUAUAAAAGUUUUAUUAAACAUGAAAUAAUUUCUUUCACAAGGUAAAACAUAGUUUUUACGAGAAGUAACAUUAUCCUUACUUUAAUAUAAUUAUUGAUUUUAAUUGGAUACCUUUCCUUUUCAUGAUAAUGUUUUUCAUUUUAUUUCCAUUCGGUUAUAUUUGGUUCUUGAAAAAUAUUAGGAAAAGAAAAAAAAUUAUUAAGAAAAAUAAUUUUCUCUUAUUUGAUUUUAUUAUGAAAAAUGUAAAAAAAAGUUAAAUAUAAUUAAAAUUAUUAAAAAAUUUAUAUAUUUUUAAAUUCUCUAAUAUUUAUAUAAAAGAAUUAAAUAGGUAAAAAAAAAUUGAAGUAGUAUAUAAAAAUAAUUUAUUAAUUUUAAAUCUUUUUUAUUUUUCUUCUUCUUUUUCUCUUUAUUUUAUUUCCCUCUAUUUUCCCCCAAACUUUCCACUAACCAAACAUGGCAUUAGUAAUUGUGGAUUGGUCUCUAAUGGGAGUUGGAAUAGAGUUUUAAUUUCAACCAUCCAUUUAAACCAUUAAAAUAUCCAUCUUGAGGCUUCUCCCAAACUAUUGUUCAAGAAGGGUCACUUAUGACAUUUUUAUUCUAUUUUAUUUUUUUUAAUUUCUCUAAAACCCCAUUUUGAAAUUAUGGCUUCAAUACAAUUUAGAAACUGCAUGUUGGAAAGUAUAACUUUUCGUGAAUUAGAAAAUGCGAUUUUGAAUUUGUAUAGGAUUGGUAAUUUCAAAAUAUGAUUUUAAAUUAAUUUUAAAGUAGUUUAAAAAUAAUAAAAAAAUAUUAAUUUUCACAAUAGUUUGAAAAUAUGCCAAAAUAGGCAAAACGGUGUCUUCUUGAAAGGGACAACCACACUCUGAGUUUGACUGAGCCAACGCGGUGCUCUCACUCAGUCAGCCCUAUCCGAGUUAUUCCGGUGAGAAUCAGCUCCCAUGAAUGUUACAGUUAUCUUGUUUUACAGUGAUGAUGGUGAUACCGAUGAACUAUAAGGACCUAUUUACCAUGUUUGAUUUUAUUUAACAAAACCCAGUUGUAGAUUGGAUUUAGAACAGAGUUUUAUGCUAAUUAUUAAUAUAAUAUUUUUUAAUUUCUCUAUUU
Molecule: long non-coding RNA, 2184 nt
Organism: Vitis vinifera (wine grape)
Lineage: Eukaryota; Viridiplantae; Streptophyta; Magnoliopsida; Vitales; Vitaceae
Exons: 2
Source: RefSeq, a predicted model, not a curated record